UCAGUUCGGACUGGAGUCUGCAACCCGACUCCACGAAGCUGGAUUCGCUAGUAAUCGCGCAUCAGCCACGGCGCGGCGAAUACGUUCCCGGGCCUUGUACACACCGCCCGUCAAGCCAUGGGAGCCGGGGGUACCUGAAGUGCGUAACCGCGAGGAUCGCCCUAGGGUAAAACUGGUGACUGGGGCUAAGUCGUAACAAGGUAGC
RNAcentral lists this ribosomal RNA (205 nucleotides) under uncultured bacterium. Its description in RNAcentral is "partial 16S ribosomal RNA". It matches the Rfam family "Bacterial small subunit ribosomal RNA", at positions 1288 to 1500 of the family's 1533-position model. The record is from RNAcentral.